RNAcentral lists this unclassified non-coding RNA (402 nucleotides) under soil metagenome. Its description in RNAcentral is "partial contains 5.8S ribosomal RNA, internal transcribed spacer 2, and large subunit ribosomal RNA". The stretch from base 1 to 121 matches the Rfam family "5.8S ribosomal RNA", at positions 35 to 154 of the family's 154-position model. The record is from RNAcentral.
GAUGAAGAACGCAGCGAAAUGCGAUAAGUAAUGUGAAUUGCAGAAUUCAGUGAAUCAUCGAAUCUUUGAACGCACCUUGCGCCCUUUGGCCAUUCCGAAGGGCAUGCCUGUUUGAGUAUCAUGAACACCUCAACUCUCAUGGCUCGCCAUGAUGAGCUUGGACUUUGGGGGUCUUGCUGGCCUGUGGUCGGCUCCUCUCAAAUGGAUCAGCUUGCCAGUGUUUGGUGGCAUCACAGGUGUGAUAACUAUCUGCGCUUGUGGUUUUCCAUCAGAUAACCUUCAGUGAUGGAGGUUCGCUGGAGCUCAUAAACGUCUCCCCUAAGCGGGGACAGCCCUUUGAAUGUUUUAUCUCAAAUCAGGUAGGACUACCCGCUGAACUUAAGCAUAUCAAUAAGCGGAGGA